This 253-nucleotide ribosomal RNA is filed under the name uncultured bacterium. RNAcentral's name for it is "partial 16S ribosomal RNA". It matches the Rfam family "Bacterial small subunit ribosomal RNA", at positions 524 to 776 of the family's 1533-position model. The record is from RNAcentral.
UACAGAGGUCUCAAGCGUUGUUCGGAUUCAUUGGGUUUAAAGGGUGCGUAGGCGGCCAGAUAAGUCAGUGGUGAAAUCUCCUUGCUUAACAAGGAAACUGCCAUUGAUACUGUUUGGCUUGAGUAUAGUUGCUGUGGGCGGAAUAUGACAUGUAGUGGUGAAAUACAUAGAGAUGUCAUAGAACACCGAUUGCGAAGGCAGCUCACAAAACUAUAACUGACGCUGAGGCACGAAAGUGCGGGGAUCAAACAGG